AGUGAACGCUGGCGGUAGGCCUAACACAUGCAAGUCGAACGGAAACACAGUAAGAGUUUGCCCUUACGGGUGGCGAGUGGCGGACGGGUGAGGAAUACAUCGGCAUCCACUUUUUCGUGGGGGAUAACGUAGGGAAACUGACGAUAAUACCGCAUACGACCUACGGGUGAAAGCAGGGGAUCAUCGCGCCUUUCGCGACUGAAUUAGCCGGUGCCGGAUUAGCUAGUUGGUGAGGUAAAGGCACACCAAGGCAACGAUGCGUAGCCGAGCUGAGAGGGUGAUCGGCCACACUGGAACUGAGACACGGUCCAGACUCCUACGGGAGGCAGCAGUAGGGAAUCUUCGGCAAUGGGCGAAAGCCUGAUGCAGCAACGCCGCGUGAGUGAUGAAGGUCUUCGGAUCGUAAAGCUCUGUUAUUGGGAAAGAACAACUGUGUAAGUAACUAUCCACGUCUUGACGGUACCCAAUCAGAAAGCAACGGCUAACUACGUG
Molecule: ribosomal RNA, 492 nt
Filed under: uncultured bacterium
Lineage: Bacteria
Description: partial 16S ribosomal RNA
Rfam family: Bacterial small subunit ribosomal RNA
Source: RNAcentral